Molecule: long non-coding RNA, 1850 nt
Filed under: Triticum aestivum (bread wheat)
Lineage: Eukaryota; Viridiplantae; Streptophyta; Magnoliopsida; Poales; Poaceae
Description: long non-coding RNA (TAES_LNC002480)
Source: RNAcentral
UACAAUUAAUGCCACAACAUAUUUUUUAUUAUUAUUUGCUAUUAAAUUAAAAUUUAUGUCACUAGUAUAUAAUUUCUCGCAGAUAAGAACAAACAUUAACUUAAUUAUCAUCAUAUUGUGCUAGCAAGGCAUAGUUGAGAUUGACCAACAUGACCAGCUCAGCAUUUUCAUUGACCAAAGCCUCCGCCCCUGGCAUAUCUCUCUCAAGUUCAGACCCGCAGUUUUCGGCAGGGAUCAUCACCCUCUCCACGCAACGAGGUAGCUCAAAGGACGGUAGCCCGCUGUUGUCUCCGUGGUAGUCCCUGAUCAUGGCAUCACAUAUGUUUAGGACUCUCACCAUGCCAUCAUAGUCCAACUUGCAAAAACUGAGGGCGCGCAUCGUCACUGUGCCCUUCUUGGCAUUUUGUAGCAUUUUCUCAACCUUUCCGCGAGCAGGAGCGAUGCGGCCUUUAAGGAUGUCGAUGGCGACGAGUACCAGGCUAUUGAGGUCCUUAGCCUCGAAGCUCCGAUUGUUUGACCGGAGGAUCGACAAGCAGAAUUCCUGCGCGACAUUAUCUGGGUUGAGGCUGUAGCUCGAGGCGUUCUUGCAUGCUUCCACCAUGAGGUUGGGUUCGGCUCACCUGCUGGGUUCCCAGCAGGAAUUAUUGUGCAGGGCGAAUAGGUGAGUGCCACGUGUCCUUGUGGGCCAAGAGCUCCAACUAACUUAGAUUUAAUUUGUUUCUUCUUCCUGUUUCGGUCCUUCGUCACCUGCCCUCUGUGCAAAAGAAAUACGAGGUUGCCUGCGAGCGGAGCCGCGGACGGGUUCUUCUUGCUCGCCCGCCGGUGAUGUUGUUGGGUCGUCUACUGCUAGUCGAUUUGGAUUUGGCACUGGAAUUCUGAAAUUAAUCAAGGCCAAACACUGUAACGAGGAGAUCAGAAACCGACAUUUUUUAGUCUUAUGGAGCAUCGUUGUGUUACUCUCCGUUUCGGUGAGAUCCAGCCUAAACGAUGAAUCGCUAUCAUAGCAAGGAAGCGUAAUGAACUAAUGAUUGGAACUUGGAGUCGAUAAAUGAAUACAAAUGGAUCGAUUUCUGAGUUUUACUUUCACAAGCAGUGACAGCAGAAGCACAGCCAUGGCGGUCUGUACGACGAUCUUCCAGUGCCCGUACUGCCGGCCGCUCCCGCUCUGCACAAAAAACGAAAUCAGUUCCUCGUUUACCAGAUCUUUGGCGGACGGUGCAGGCUGAAUAUGUCCUCGACGGUGGUGGGUGUGGGCUCCGGCGCGACGGGCGCAGGUGGGUUGGGCAGAUCCGGCGAGGGGACGGGUUUCUUCUUCUUGCCGUUCUACUUCUUCCGCUUAUGCUUGCUCUUCUCUUGUAUGGGGCCUUGGCCGGGGGGCAGCACGGCAGGGUGCCUCGGCCAUCGGCAGGGGCGCUGCCACGGGACACUCGGCAUCCACGACGUCCUCGAGUGGAGGUAGAAGGGCCAACGGCUGGCAACCAUUCUCACGGUGAGGAUGGACCGAAGCAGGAAGAAGAAACAAAUUAAAUUUAAGUUAGUUGGAGCUCUUGGUUCACAAGGACACGUGGCACUCACCUAUUCGCCCUGCAUAAUAAUUCCUGCUGGGAACCCAGCAGGUGAGCCGAACCCCAUGAGGUUGGUCUGCUUUGGUUUGCCACCGCCAAAGUCGUUGGCUUGAGCAGCGACGAUCAUGGAAAGAAGCAUGCAAACGAUGGUGUACAAGACGACGGUGGUUGUCGACAUCGUUGCCAUUAUGGCUAGGUUACCUAGAAGUUUCUAAUUGUAUUGAAGCCAAAAGAGGUGGAGUUAAAUGGAUAUAGAAAAAUGUGUAUGACACCGAUGGAUAGAUG